GAGGUCUCAAGCGUUGUUCGGAUUCAUUGGGCGUAAAGGGCGCGUAGGCUGCGGGGCAAGUCGGGUGUGAAAUCUCAGAGCUCAACUCUGAAACUGCACUCGAUACUGCUUUGCUUGAGGACUGGAGAGGAGAUUGGAAUUCACGGUGUAGCAGUGAAAUGCGUAGAUAUCGUGAGGAAGACCAGUGGCGAAGGCGGAUCUCUGGACAGUUCCUGACGCUGAGGCGCGAAGGCCAGGGGAGCAAACGGG
Molecule: ribosomal RNA, 249 nt
Filed under: uncultured bacterium
Lineage: Bacteria
Description: partial 16S ribosomal RNA
Rfam family: Bacterial small subunit ribosomal RNA
Source: RNAcentral